This 253-nucleotide ribosomal RNA is filed under the name uncultured bacterium. Its description in RNAcentral is "partial 16S ribosomal RNA". It matches the Rfam family "Bacterial small subunit ribosomal RNA", at positions 524 to 776 of the family's 1533-position model. The record is from RNAcentral.
UACGUAGGUGGCAAGCGUUGUCCGGAUUUACUGGGCGUAAAGAGCGCGCAGGCGGUCGUUCAAGCCGCGUGUGAAAGCCCCCGGCUCAACUGGGGAGGGUCACGCGAUACUGAUCGACUGGAAGGCAGGAGAGGGUAGUGGAAUUCCCGGUGUAGUGGUGAAAUGCGUAGAUAUCAGGAGGAACACCGGUGGCGAAGGCGGGUCUCUGGGCAGUAACUGACGCUGAGGAGCGAAAGCGUGGGGAGCGAACAGG